UAUGUAGGGGGCAAGCGUUAUCCGGAUUUACUGGGUGUAAAGGGAGCGUAGACGGCACUGCAAGUCUGGAGUGAAAGCCCGAGGCCCAACCACGGGACUGCUCUGGAAACUGCGGGGCUGGAGUGCAGGAGGGGUAAGCGGAAUUCCUAGUGUAGCGGUGAAAUGCGUAGAUAUUAGGAGGAACACCGGUGGCGAAGGCGGCUUACUGGACUGUAACUGACGUUGAGGCUCGAAGGCGUGGGGAGCAAACAGG
This 253-nucleotide ribosomal RNA is filed under the name uncultured bacterium. RNAcentral's name for it is "partial 16S ribosomal RNA". It matches the Rfam family "Bacterial small subunit ribosomal RNA", at positions 524 to 776 of the family's 1533-position model. The record is from RNAcentral.